UAAUCCUAGUGGCGAACGGGUGAGUAACGCGUGAGCAACCUGCCUUGUACAACGGGAUACCCGAGGGAAACUUCGGUUAAUACGGUAUAAGACCACACUACCGCAUGGUAGAGGGGUAAAAGGAGAAAUCCGGUAUAAGAUGGGCUCGCGUCGCAUUAGCUAGUUGGUAAGGUAACGGCUUACCAAGGCGACGAUGCGUAGCCGACCUGAGAGGGUGAUCGGCCACAUUGGGACUGAGACACGGCCCAGACUCCUACGGAAGGCAGCAG
Molecule: ribosomal RNA, 269 nt
Filed under: uncultured bacterium
Lineage: Bacteria
Description: partial 16S ribosomal RNA
Rfam family: Bacterial small subunit ribosomal RNA
Source: RNAcentral